RNAcentral lists this ribosomal RNA (253 nucleotides) under uncultured bacterium. Its description in RNAcentral is "partial 16S ribosomal RNA". It matches the Rfam family "Bacterial small subunit ribosomal RNA", at positions 524 to 776 of the family's 1533-position model. The record is from RNAcentral.
UACGUAGGGUGCAAGCGUUAAUCGGAAUUACUGGGCGUAAAGCGUGCGCAGGCGGUUAUGCAAGACCGAGGUGAAAUCCCCGGGCUCAACCUGGGAACUGCCUUUGUGACUGCAUAGCUAGAGUACGGUAGAGGGGGAUGGAAUUCCGCGUGUAGCAGUGAAAUGCGUAGAUAUGCGGAGGAACACCGAUGGCGAAGGCAAUCCCCUGGACCUGUACUGACGCUCAUGCACGAAAGCGUGGGGAGCAAACAGG